This is an RNA transcript of Amphibalanus amphitrite, 3278 nucleotides long. It is a transcript of the gene named cytoplasmic dynein 1 light intermediate chain 1-like, with no coding region annotated. The record is from RefSeq and is a predicted model, not a curated record. NCBI's taxonomy places the organism in Eukaryota, Metazoa, Arthropoda, Thecostraca, Balanomorpha, Balanidae. The transcript has 9 exons.
UACUAGUGUUAUGCCUUCACCCACUGCCUUCAUUUCGCCGCAGAAGAACCGCUCCUUGAUGACAAAAGUCGGCGAAUUUGACGCGGGCUACGCCUUCGUGUUGUUUGUAGAGUGUGGUGUGUGGUGAGGAUACUGCUUCUUAUAGGUGUUAUUCUGCGAAAAAAGACAUGGAUUCAUCUAAAAGCUUCAGGGAUGAAAAUGGAUCGGAUGGGGGUGAAGGAAAGAAGACUGACAACAAAGAGGGAAUCUGGUCGUCGAUUCUGACGGAGGUGGUUUCGGCCGAAUCAACUAAACUGCCCGCCGAUAAGCAGGUCGUCGUGCUGGGAAACAACCAGACCGGCAAGACCACGCUGGUGGCCAAACUUCAGGGCAAUGAGGACCCCAAGAAGGGCUCCGGCCUGGAGUACGCCCACAUCCUUGUCAGAGACGAGUACAGAGACGCGACCACUCGUCUCUCUGUGUGGAUGUUGGACGGGGACCCUGCACACGCACACCUGCUGCAGUACGCCCUUGGACCCGAGGCGGUCGGCAACACGGCCCUCAUGCUGACCGUGGCCAUGACGACGCCCUGGGACAUCCUGGACCAGCUGCACGCCUGGGCAGGGGUCAUCCAGGAUCACCUGGAUCAGUUGAACCUGAGUGCCGACCUCGUCAGGGAGAGACAACAUAAAGUCCAGCGGCGCUGGCAGGAGUACAUCGAGCCGGGCGAUGAACUGGAGGCGGCCUCUCCGGCCAAGCGGCUCUCCCAGCACCUGGGAGAGGAGGACGGAGAGGUUCUACUGCCGCUCGGCGAGAACACGCUGACGCGAAACCUCGGCAUGGAUGUCAUAGUGGUAGUGACCAAGACUGACUACAUGGCGACCCUAGAAACCGACCACGACUACAAGGACGAGCACUUCGACUUUAUCCAGCAGUACGUGCGCAAGUUUUGUCUACAGUACGGCGCGGCGCUGUUCUACACCUCCGUCAAAGAGGACAAGAAUUGCGACCUGCUCUACAAGUACCUGACACAUAGGAUAUAUGGAUUUCCGUUCCGGACACCGGCGCUCGUCGUGGAAAAGGACGCCGUGUUCAUACCUGCCGGCUGGGACAAUGACAAGAAGAUCUCGAUUCUGUAUGAGAACAUGCAGAGCAUACACCCGGAAGCCUACUAUACGGAUGUCAUCUCACGGCCCGCCAUCAAAAAGACUCUGGUACGAGACACCGAGCUGCAGGCGGAGGAGGAGCAGACGUUCCUGGCGCGGCAGCAGCAGCAGCUCCUGAGCAGCGGCGGCGCCUCGCCCGGCCCGGCCGGCGCGCCGCGGCCCGACACGCCCUCGCGGCUCUCCACCAGCGGCGUGCAAAAGACGCCCGAGCGGCGCGGGACCGCCUCGCCCAGUAUCGCCAAUAACAGCUCCGUCGGGAAAAAGGUACGGCUGAUGGAGACUGCGGGCUUUCGGAGAUCUGUCUUCAAAUAUCGUGGGAUGGUGGUCUGGUGUUAACUGUUGGCUUUGGUUGUGGGGAUUGGGGAUGUAUAUCGUCAACAUGUUGAGACUGGUUGCGUGUGUCCAAAUUAGUUAGUCAGCACUAGCUGUCAGAAUAGCCGCUGCUUAUACCAAAUCUUGUUUAGCCACAGUUGAAUUAAUUUUUUACUGCCGCGCUAUCCAUGCAGCAGCAAAACGAACGCUUUCCAUUGGGCAUUUGCACUUUUCACGGCCUGCCCUGUCCUGUCCUGCGAACUGUGCCACGCACUGCGUCGAUCGAGCCGUUCCUCCCGUCCUCUGCCCGUCUGUCCGGCCCUCUCCCCACUCCGGUCCUGUAGGUGGUUCUCUGCUGUGCUGGACCGGAUAGCCGCGAUAGCGACACAAGUUACUGAUCCCGUGCCCUCGCCGAUCACUGCUCCUUGUCUAUUUUCCUUGCCAGCUGGACCCGACCAAGCCCGGCGCGGGCGUCACCUCAGAGGGGGUGCUGGCCAACUUCUUCAACUCGCUGUUGAACAAAAAGGCAGGAUCUCCGGGCGGCCUGAACAAAUCCGGCACUGACAGCGCGGAUACCUCUCUGGUACGAUCAGACGCGGCGGCCGAGCUCGACCGGCUGACGCGCACCAAGAAGACAAGCACGCCUCUCAAGUCGGCCGACACGUCCGGCGCGCCAGACACAGACUGCUAGCGCAUGUAUGUACAUUCCCCCAAUUCUGAGCGAGAGAGGAUGUGAGUGGACGCCGCGAGCCCCAGAGGCGCGCGCGAGAGAGUGUGAUACCUGGCCGGCGCCGGCCGGCCGGGCGGUGGUUCGCGUCUCGGCCGCCAGAGGCGCUGCUGUCGCGCGAUGCCGGCGACACCGGCACUGGACGCGAUGGAGGAGCGUGAACUAGUCGAUAGCCGUUGCAGCUUUAUUCGUGUUAUGUGCAAACGUUGUCGUCACUCUCUUUUGGGUCUCACAAAGGUACAGGUUUGGCUAACCGAUUUUUACGAGGCGGCGCGCGGGCGACGUUGUUCUUCCUUUUUAGCGGCGCCCCGCGUCGUGCCGCGCUGUUUUAGUGUGGGCAGGUCUACUCCGUACGUAUGCUAUCCGCCCCCAGGCUCCGUUAAACACGCGCUGAUUUCGUUUGUUAGUCGUGUGGUGAGAUGUGCGCCCUCUGGGAUGAACCGGAACAAACUAGAUUUGUUUUCAAUUAGCAUGGCCGGGCCAUUUUGGUAUUGGAGCGGUGGGACGGUCUCCUUGUUUUGGAGGAGUGGGAGUCGUUCCCUGUGUUGGCUGAACGGGGAGUACGUUCCUCGUUCGGGAGAGUGGGAGCCACUGAGCGUUUCUGGUUCAUCGGUGAUCGGGUCGGGUGGCGACCGGUGGCCUGCGGUCGGUCAGUCGCGCCCGCGGCGGCCGCUGCGUGGAGCCGCGGAGCGCGGUGGUCGGGCUGUCUGGCCCCGCCGCCGGCCGGAGAGCUGGUCUGUACGUCUGGCCGGCCCGCUGUGGCACCAUUCCUGCGUCCCGGCGCGUGUGUGGCGCGCCGCUGAUUCUCCUGUGCUGCCCCCGGACGGCGCCGCUGCCGUCCUCACUGAAUGGUGACGACGUGCAGCGCCGCCGGGCCGGUCUCUCGCGAACCAGCAGUUGGACGUGUGGCCGUGCGGCGGCGCCACCGUCGCCGCAGCAGCGCCCGCGCAGCCUGCGGGCGGCGCGGCGCGAUCUGUUUGUGCUGUGGUUUUGUUGAAAUGAGCGGGCGUCGCUCGGACCCGCACGGGGCCGGCGCCGUUCCACUCUAGUAUACGGCUUGACUUGUACUUGAAAAAAUAAACUAAUUUAUUAUA